RNAcentral lists this ribosomal RNA (253 nucleotides) under uncultured bacterium. RNAcentral's name for it is "partial 16S ribosomal RNA". It matches the Rfam family "Bacterial small subunit ribosomal RNA", at positions 524 to 776 of the family's 1533-position model. The record is from RNAcentral.
UACAGAGGGUGCGAGCGUUGUCCGGAAUCACUGGGCGUAAAGGGCGCGUAGGCGGCCUGAUAAGUAGGGGGUGAAAUCCUGUGGCUUAACUGCAGGGCUGCCUCCUAGACUGUUAGGCUCGAGCACGGUAGAGGCAGAUGGAAUUCCCGGUGUAGCGGUGGAAUGCGUAUAGAUCGGGAAGAACAUCGGUGGCGAAGGCGGUCUGCUGGGCCGUUGCUGACGCUGAGGCGCGACAGCGUGGGGAGCAAACAGG